GACUGUUCCAGUGGCCUAGUGGUUAGAGCGUCCGCCUCUGAUGCGGGAGGUUGUGGGUUAGAUCCACAGCUAAGUCG
Molecule: non-coding RNA, 77 nt
Organism: Potamilus streckersoni
Lineage: Eukaryota; Metazoa; Mollusca; Bivalvia; Unionida; Unionidae
Source: the annotation of a GenBank genome assembly